This is a long non-coding RNA of Vigna angularis (adzuki bean), 2442 nucleotides long. RefSeq lists it as uncharacterized. The record is from RefSeq and is a predicted model, not a curated record. The transcript is spliced from 3 exons. NCBI's taxonomy places the organism in Eukaryota, Viridiplantae, Streptophyta, Magnoliopsida, Fabales, Fabaceae.
ACAAUAUAAUCAUGAUAAAUAGGGUAACCCUUGACACAAUAUAAUGAUGAUAAAUAGGGUAAAUAUCCUAAUAGUCAUAAACCCCCUUACCAAAAUGGUAUCAAAACCAUUCAGAGCUUAUCCUACUAGAUGACCUACAAAUAUCUAGUUCCACACUUGAGAUGUUCAUUUCUUGGUGUGAGAUGGUGUGAUCGGGCUCCUGUUAGACCACCCACAAAUAUCUAAACUCACACUAGAGAUGUUCAUUCCUCGGUAUGAGGAAGUGUGUUGGAGAUUCUAUAUCAACUAGGAAUAAGGUCAAAUUUUAAUAAAUACGUGGGGUGCAAUCAUCACUUUACAAGCUAGUUUGUUAUGGUUGCAUUAGGCAUAAACUCACUUACUGAGAGAAAGUAGAGGAAAGUGGGAUUUGCCUUUGGAAAUGUUGAUCAAAUUGCAACUUGAUGUUUCUUUUAUGCUGAUAUUGAUUUCAUGGUCCUGUUUGCAGUAGUUGGCUGUGUGUGAAAGCACAAUUUGAUGUAAAUUUUGAUAUUUAUUUUUAUGGAAGGUGCUGGUUACAUAGACUAAGCUCUACGCUUGAUGUUAAUGAGAUGAACAUUGAUGUAAUUAGAGGAAAUAUCUAUAGAAUCUUCUUAAUUAGAGAAAAUAUCUAUAGAAUCUUCCUAAUUACAGAAAACAUGUGUAUGAUCUUCUAGAUUAUUUUGUUUCCUUAUUUCCCUUUCUAGAAGAUUAGAUUGCUAAAAUAGAGGUAAGAAGAAUGUAAUUACUAUGAAUGAAAAUAAUAAAAUCAUUCUUUUUCAAGUUGGUAUCAGACCUCCUGAUCUUGGGAGAUCUGUUUUCGCUGCAACAGUAGCCACCGCCGUCGCUGUCCGACCACCACGGAUGCCGCCGUAGCCGAUUGGGGUUGUUGAUAGAGCAGAAAGGUGCGCCCAACUCUGGCGAUCACAACACCGGAAAUCGCUUCGGGAAAGAGCCACCACGCACCACCGGCGCGUGUAGCCCACGCGUCGCCAUCAUCGCCGGCGCGUGUAGCCCACACACCUUGUUCCGGCGAGACCCACUCGUCGCCGCUGUCACAGACAAGGUCGCUGGAGCCUCCUAAGUCCAUUCCAAGGGUCGGUGACGUCCCAUUUUGCCCAGAUUUGAGUAGAUAUGAGAUUUCACUUAUGCUCCUUUUCUCGGUGUAACCCACACGUCGUUGUCGCCUCAGAUAAGGUCACCUGAGACACCUGAUUGCUUCUAUGUGAUGUCUGAAGUAAAAAUUAUUCCUUUGGGUCCUAAUGAUCUACCCAAUUUGGUGGGUGCUCGGUUGGAUGGUCAGAAUAUCCUACAAUGGAGCCAGUAUAUUCGAAGUACUCUCAAGGGACUUUCAAGACUAGAUCACAUAGAUGGAGGAGGACCAGGACCAGACAACACUCAUUUUCCAAUUUGGGAGAAUGAAGAUUCACUAAUUAUGACUUGGAUGUGGCAGUCCAUGAUUCUUGAGAUAAGUAGAAAUUAUAUGUUUCCUUCUUCUGCCAAAGAAAUAUGGGAUGAUUUACAAAGUACUUUUUCAUUAAAAAAGGAUUUUGCUGCAUGCUAUGACAUUGGAAGCAUGAUAUUUCAUACAAAACAAGGCUCCCUUUCCGUAUCAGAGUAUCACAGAAUCAUGAAUGGAUUUUGGAUGGAAUUAGAUCAAAACCAAACAAUAAAGAUGUGUAAAACAGAUGCUGCCACACUUGCUAAAGUCAUGGAAACAGGAAGAAUCUUUAAAUUUCUCCAUGGCCUAAAUCCUAAGUACGACCCAAUUCGGGUACAAAUCUUAGGAAGAGAAAAAUUACCAUCCCUAUCAGAAGUAUUUUUUUUAUGGUAAGAGGAAAAAAAACUUGUAGAAUUGUCAUUCUUGAUGGGGGACCUCCAACAUAGGCACUGCCAUGAUGACUGGAAAAGGGAGUCCAUAAAGGAACAAAUGCUGGAGGAAUGUCGUUUGAAAAAGGUACUCAUGGAGACUAUUGUUCAUACUCUGUAAAAGAUCUGGACACACCAAGGAAACAUGCUUCAAACUCCAUGGAAGAAAGAAUGUUCUCAAGCGCAUGGGAAACAACAAAGGGUGUACUCAAAGAUGGGGAAAUCAUACUGCCUCAGAACAGGAAGCCACCAAUCUAUCUAGUCCUUCACAUUCUAGUUCUUCACCAUCACCUGAUCUUGAUAUGAAAGCUUAUAAGGAGGAACUCGAGCGCUUUAAAGCAAUAUUUGAAUCAAUGAGAGCAACUGAUCAUGACACCUUUUUGUGUGUCCUUCGACUCAUGAUAAAAGAAAUAGAGAACAACUUAUUACAGUUGCGAAUGGUCAAGGACUUUGCCAUGGGGAAAACGACUUUAACUGCUAUGGAGCAAAGUGGGUUGUAUCUUUUGGAGUUUGAUGACCAAAGCAACACAAAAAUCAUGAGUCAACAAGCUACAUCUG